CAAUCGCGGACAGCUGGAAGUCAGCAAUCGACAUUCCCAGCUCUGCCGGCGUCUCCCCAGGACCAGGCUCCAGGUUCUUCCGCAUGGCGCUGGUGGCUCCUGGGAGCCCACCCAGCCUCUCUGGAGCCCCGUGGCCCACGACUUCCCCGGUGGGCUGCCACCUCUUCCACGCGUCCCAUUGUCACCAUCCCGCUGGAACUGUCUUUCCUCCCACCGCUUCCUCAAAACUGAGAUUGUCACGGCCACCCAGGACCUCCAAGUUGCCAAAUGCAACUUCGCUGUGCUCUGCGCAGGGGCAUGUGACAGCCUGGCUCCCACCUCGGGCUUGGAAUGCCCUCUUCCCCUGGCUUUCGGGCAGCCUGGCUCACUUGCAGCCUCUCCUUGCCUCUCUCCGGCUGCCCUUCUCAGCUGUCCUGCUCUGCGCAGUCUGGGAUGUGGGUGCACUGGGCUCUACCUGGCCUGGCUUUUCUCUGCCUUAUGUCUGCUCCUCCCUAGGGAACCUCAUCUGGGCCCCGCAGCCCUCUCUCUUGGCAGGAUCCCAAAGGUCGUUUGCCUUCCCCUGUAUCACAUUGAGGAGAAGAAAGAGGCAGAAACGGAGAUUGAGAGAGAAGAUUCGCCAAAGGACUGGAUACAGGAGCUGGCUCAGCCCAGGACAUGGGAUGUGUGCUUGGAACCUGGAGAGGAAACACUUCACUGGGGGCUCAGGGUGGCCAGUUUUCCUGCUCGCUGGUGAGGAAUCCUUCAGCUCAGCAGAAAUGCUAAAUUGGUACCGUCCAGAUUUUCAAACACUGAAUUCGAAAUAUGAUGUACAUCUGAAAAAAAUUAAAAUUAAAAAAAAGAGGAAGAAAGUAUGACCACUCUGAGUAUCUGCGGCUGUAUUUUAGUUCAGAAGAAUCAACAGGGAAUCGACAAGGAUGACAAAGGUUGUGGCAUCUUCCAGUUUGCGUUUCUACACCUCAGAAAGCACCUGCUGUUCCGGGCCCUUCAAGAGUUCCCCAGGCUGGAAAGCGUCUCCGAAAUAGUGUGCGCUGGCCCUGGUCCGCCUCUCUGCCACGACGGAGAACAGACUUUCAACACACACGCCAGGGAGUUUAGGAGAGGGCUCCCUAAUUCUCCCCCUUUCCCACAUCAUCGGUUGCCUCCUUGUUCGUUCCCAAUCGUUCCCAUGAGCAUACAAAUGUGCUGUCAUUUCUCCCAUCUGGGCAGCAACCCUCCUCCAGAUACCCCCUGAGAGGGGCAUGUUUCGAGCUGGAGCCAGCACGGCUGCGGAUGGACUGGCUGCAUACCAGAGAUCGGUGCUGAG
RNAcentral lists this long non-coding RNA (1303 nucleotides) under Equus caballus (horse). RNAcentral's name for it is "lncRNA (ENSECAG00000035853.2)". Lineage: Eukaryota; Metazoa; Chordata; Mammalia; Perissodactyla; Equidae. The record is from RNAcentral.